Long non-coding RNA from Haliotis rubra (blacklip abalone), 197 nucleotides. RefSeq lists it as uncharacterized. The record is from RefSeq and is a predicted model, not a curated record. NCBI's taxonomy places the organism in Eukaryota, Metazoa, Mollusca, Gastropoda, Lepetellida, Haliotidae. The transcript is spliced from 3 exons.
GUCUGUUUAUACUGUUUGCGUUAAUGCGUUAAUACGUCUCCAGACCUCCAGAUAACCUGCAGCGUUACUUAAAAUACUAAAUCAAUUUGAAAACAAGUAUAGUUGGAAGAACUUUGAAAGUAUAACGUCACUGUGUGUAUGUAAGUGUGAGUAAUGCAGCUUUAAGCAGGUUUGGAUCACACGUGUUUUACAGAUAU